GGACCCGACUGCUAUUUGGGUGAGAAUAAGCCAUGCGAGUCGAAUGGGAUACCUAAAUCUCCCAUGGCAAACUGCUCAGUAACACAUGAUCAACUUACCCUAUAGAGAAAAAUAACCUCGGGAAACUGAGGAUAAUGUUUCAUAGUUGAAUAGGCUUGGAAAAGUUUUUCAAUAAAAGGGAUAAGGAAAAUGGUCCUUAUCCGCUAUAGGAUAGGAUCGUGUUCGAUUAUGGUUGUUGGUGAGGUAACGGCUCACCAAGCCGAUAAUCGAUAGGGGCCGUGAGAGCGGGAGCCCCGAGAUGGGUACUGAGACAACGACCCAGGCCUUACGAGGCGCAGCAGGCGCGGAACCUCCGCAAUACACGAAAGUGUGACGGGGUUACCCAAAGUGCUCUUUCUAGAGCUGUGGUAGGUGAGUAAUGUUCCCUACUAGGAAGGAGAGGGCAAGGCUGGUGCCAGCCGCCGCGGUAAAACCAGCUCUUCAAGUGGUCGGGAUAAUUAUUGGGCUUAAAGUGUCCGUAGCCGGUUUAGAAAGUUCCUGGUAAAAUCGGGUAGCUUAACUAUCCGUAUGCUAGGAAUACUGCUAUACUAGAGGGCGGGAGAGGUCUGAGGUACUACAGGGGUAGGGGUGAAAUCUUAUAAUCCUUGUAGGACCACCAGUGGCGAAGGCGUCAGACUGGAACGCGCCUGACGGUGAGGGACGAAAGCCAGGGGAGCGAACCGGAUUAGAUACCCGGGUAGUCCUGGCCGUAAACGAUGCAUACUAGGUGAUGGUACGGCCAUGAGCCGUAUCAGUGCCGUAGGGAAACCGUUAAGUGUGCCGCCUGGGAAGUACGGUCGCAAGGCUAAAACUUAA
This 855-nucleotide ribosomal RNA is filed under the name uncultured archaeon. RNAcentral describes it as "bacterial SSU rRNA". It matches the Rfam family "Archaeal small subunit ribosomal RNA", at positions 19 to 859 of the family's 1478-position model. The record is from RNAcentral.